AUGAAGGGAAGACCCAUAAAAAUUACAAGCUCAUCAAGAUCAUUAAAGAAGUUUUUGAGAUUAAUUUUAAGUGGCACAUGGUACAGUGCAAACAACAGAAAGGCAGUUGAGAAUGUGGGUAUAUGGUAAUCAAACAUAUGAAAGAGUUUAUCGACUCUAUACAACAUGAUUUGGUUAACCGACUUUGGAAUGAAGAAGGGUAUUUUGAAGAAUCUCAAAUUGAGAAUUUAGUGGUAGAUUUAAUGUCGGAAUUUAUUAAAAAGAUGUUUUGAUCUUGUACGCAUUAGUUUUUGUUUCAUACUUUUGUAAUUCCGAAUACUUGAGCGGGUUGUUGGGUUGUUUAAUACUAGUUAACUUUUGUCGUGAGCAUGUGCAUUUGUGUGUAAUUGGAAUUAUAUUGGGAAAUAUUACUAAAAAUUCU
RNAcentral lists this long non-coding RNA (421 nucleotides) under Helianthus annuus (common sunflower). Lineage: Eukaryota; Viridiplantae; Streptophyta; Magnoliopsida; Asterales; Asteraceae. The record is from RNAcentral.